Rattus norvegicus (Norway rat) is the source of this 612-nucleotide non-coding RNA. Lineage: Eukaryota; Metazoa; Chordata; Mammalia; Rodentia; Muridae. The record is from RefSeq and is a predicted model, not a curated record.
CCCCUGUUGCUUGCUGGGGCAGUUUCCUGAGACUGUAAAACAUUCUUGCUUCCAAGGCUCCCUUUCCUGUGCUUAUGCAGAAGCCAUGCCAGAGCGCACAGCCCACUUCCCCAGACCCACUGUCCCUGACCUGAGAGAAGGAGGACCUGCAGGUGAUGUACACAGUACCCCGGAACCACCAAUGCCUUGCCCGUGAAUGUGACCGCACCUGCUUCCCACGGACCCACCUGUCUAGGCGAAGUUGGCACACAAUGCCCAGAAUGUCCACCUCCCCUCGGGCCUUCAGCUGCUGGCAGCCGAUUCGGGUGGCGAUGAAGCAGCCUGUCCGACCGAUCCCUGCGCUGGAAGUAACCAGAGAGAGGAUAGGGAGGUCACAGGAGAGCAGGGAAUGGGAGAGGCAGGUGAACAUGGCAGGCUGGGGCUAGGCUUCCAGUGAUGAAAGAAGAAACAGUAUUAAAGUGCUCUAUUUGUGAGGUGGAACUCUCACAUCUCCAAUUCUAGUAUCCCUGGCACCCCUGAGGCAGAAAAUAGCUUGUCCAGGAGAAGUUUGUAAGCCCUUGUUAGUCUCACACUCCGCCUAGCCCAGCUCACCAUUAAAUUAAGUAAAAUGGG